This 497-nucleotide ribosomal RNA is filed under the name uncultured bacterium. Its description in RNAcentral is "partial 16S ribosomal RNA". It matches the Rfam family "Bacterial small subunit ribosomal RNA", at positions 28 to 507 of the family's 1533-position model. The record is from RNAcentral.
GAUGAACGCUGGCGGCGUGCCUAAUACAUGCAAGUCGAGCGAACGGACGAGAAGCUUGCUUCUCUGAUGUUAGCGGCGGACGGGUGAGUAACACGUGGAUAACCUACCUAUAAGACUGGGAUAACUUCGGGAAACCGGAGCUAAUACCGGAUAAUAUUUUGAACCGCAUGGUUCAAAAGUGAAAGACGGUCUUGCUGUCACUUAUAGAUGGAUCCGCGCUGCAUUAGCUAGUUGGUAAGGUAACGGCUUACCAAGGCAACGAUGCAUAGCCGACCUGAGAGGGUGAUCGGCCACACUGGAGCUGAGCCACGGUCCAGAGUCCUACGGGAGGCAGCAGUAGGGAAUCUUCCGCAAUGGGCGAAAGCCUGACGGAGCAACGCCGCGUGAGUGAUGAAGGUCUUCGGAUCGUAAAACUCUGUUAUUAGGGAAGAACAUAUGUGUAAGUAACUGUGCACAGCUUGACGGUACCUAAUCAGAAAGCCACGGCUAACUACGUG